RNAcentral lists this long non-coding RNA (836 nucleotides) under Salvia miltiorrhiza (redroot sage). RNAcentral describes it as "long non-coding RNA (SMIL_LNC008142)". The record is from RNAcentral. Lineage: Eukaryota; Viridiplantae; Streptophyta; Magnoliopsida; Lamiales; Lamiaceae.
UUAUAAUACACCUGAUGUUUAGUCACAAGACUCGAACAGACUUGUAGGUUCAGAUAAAACUGGCUUAACUGAAAGAACAUAAAACCUAAGAGUACGCAGCGGAAAAACAUAAUCUGAUUACAUGUGUGAAGACAUGUAUCCAAGAGUUCAUUCAUUUAACUUAUGACAAAAGCUCCGCUCUUCACUUCAUCUCCAUCAGCCACUGCUCAACCUGCACAUUUAGAAAUAUAUGCAAGGCUGAGUACGAGAGUACUCAGUGGGCACGUAUGCCUAAAUAUAAAAAAAAUACAUGCAUCAUAAAACUAGUAAAUUAGUCAUGCCAUCAUAAACAGUACAGCAAGGGAGUUUUCGUGAAAUAGGCCCAAGCUUACUAAAUUCAUUUGUGAUUCUUAAAGUUCGUCUGCAGACUAAGUUCUCUUGUAAUCUAUCAUAUCUGGAACUGUGUGCCGGAGAGGUGGCCACCUCUCACGGUCACUCGACCGGCCAACCCGCUAGAUGACUCACGGUCCCUCGUGUACACAAGUCAAGGCAGGAUAGCUAUCAACUGCUCAAGACCCGAAUUCGAUUACAUCAUUGGCAAUGCCAAAGCAGAUAGAUAUCAUACUAAAACUGAAACAUUUUAUGGCAAGACAAUACUUGAAAUAACUUAGAAAUAACUUGUUCAAAGGUAGCAUUAAACUUGUUUGAUAGAUAUAUAAAACUGAAAUUAACAGUUAAACAUCUCAUGCAUUCAUCUGUAUAAGAGGCCUACGACACGUAGGGGAUCUCCAUAUACGUAUAGUGAAAGUAAUGCCCACCUGAUCCUCAGUGUGGAAGAGAGGUGAUCUUAAGCGGUG